This 20-nucleotide small RNA is filed under the name Arabidopsis thaliana (thale cress). RNAcentral's name for it is "ATSL068250". Lineage: Eukaryota; Viridiplantae; Streptophyta; Magnoliopsida; Brassicales; Brassicaceae. The record is from RNAcentral.
UUUCAAAAACCAAAAAAAAA